AUGCCUCGUUUGAAGCUUCGAAUUUUGCCCGAAGGUUGGAUUUUUGCGCGGCGGCCUAGCGAGGCGUCCAACCCCGAGGACCACUGGCCAUGGCGGCCGCCGUCCAUGUCUACCUCCUCCGUCAGCCUCCUCCUCGAGUGCCCCCUCUCCGUCUGCCGCCUCGUCAACCCGGCCUCUUCUCCUGCCAUGGCGCUCCCCCCUCCCGCCUUCCAGUCUCCGCUCCUCCCUCCCCGUCGGCACCUGCCAACUACCCGGCGACCCCUACUGGCCCCCUCGUCCGACCACCUGCUCGCCGUCAACCAUGAAGCCCGCCCCCUCCGUGGACGUCAUCGACCCAAGCACUGGGAAGCACGGGUGGUCAAGGUGAAGGAGCUCACCGUCGAGCUCGCCGGAGCACUACGCGCUCAAGGCGUCCACAACACCUCCACGUGCUCAAGUUCAGAGCUCACCGGAGCUUCAGAUCCAGAGCUCAAUGCUGCAUUGCUGACUGGCACAUCAGGGGCAAGCAGCAGACCAGAAAAUUACAAAUGA
RNAcentral lists this ribosomal RNA (531 nucleotides) under Triticum aestivum (bread wheat). Its description in RNAcentral is "partial small subunit ribosomal RNA". Lineage: Eukaryota; Viridiplantae; Streptophyta; Magnoliopsida; Poales; Poaceae. The record is from RNAcentral.